UACGAGGGGAGCUAGUGUUGUUCGGAUUUACUGGGCGUAAAGGGAGUGUAGGCGGAGGCCUAAGUCAGAGGUGAAAAUUUGGGGCUUAACCCCAAACCUGCCUCUGAUACUGGGUUUCUUGAGUAUGGAAGAGGGCGAUGGAAUUCCUGGUGUAGCGGUGGAAUGCGUAGAUAUCAGGAGGAACACCGAUAGCGAAGGCAGUCGCCUGGUACAAUACUGACGCUGAAACUCGAAAGCGUGGGGAGCAAACAGG
This 253-nucleotide ribosomal RNA is filed under the name uncultured bacterium. RNAcentral describes it as "partial 16S ribosomal RNA". It matches the Rfam family "Bacterial small subunit ribosomal RNA", at positions 524 to 776 of the family's 1533-position model. The record is from RNAcentral.